UUCACCGAUUAGCCUGGAUAUAUAAGACUACAAAAAUCCAAAAAAUCUGGGUAGAAUCUUACAUGAACUUAGCCAAGCCAGUCCAACAAAUUCUCUCCAAAUUAUUCUUUAAUUUCCCAUUCCCAAUGGAACCCAGAGAAAACUCAAUGAACUUUAGUGAAAACUAUUACCUUUUUUAUGAUUAAUUUUAGCUUACAGCAACAAAACCUUCCAACAUGAUGGGUAAGGUAGGGGUAGGGGUAGGGCAAUGUGGCUUAGCAACAGUGAAAUCCAACUUCAGAAGUAUGAAUUCUUGAAAUUAUGUUGAUAUAUAUCCUCAAAGAAUGCCAAAAGCAGUGGAAUCAUUAUAAAUGCCCAAGAAUGGGAAGGAUGUCGAUCGAGAUGCAGAGGUAGCGCGGUGCAUGUUAACACCAACCAAGGAUACAAAGCUGACACCUACAGCUAAUGGAAGUGUUG
RNAcentral lists this long non-coding RNA (456 nucleotides) under Olea europaea (common olive). RNAcentral describes it as "long non-coding RNA (OEUR_LNC002926)". Lineage: Eukaryota; Viridiplantae; Streptophyta; Magnoliopsida; Lamiales; Oleaceae. The record is from RNAcentral.